This 600-nucleotide ribosomal RNA is filed under the name Salmonella enterica. RNAcentral's name for it is "partial 23S ribosomal RNA". It matches the Rfam family "Bacterial large subunit ribosomal RNA", at positions 2331 to 2925 of the family's 2925-position model. RNAcentral also lists the same sequence under 1 other name. The record is from RNAcentral. Lineage: Bacteria; Pseudomonadati; Pseudomonadota; Gammaproteobacteria; Enterobacterales; Enterobacteriaceae.
UCGGACAUCAGGAGGUUAGUGCAAUGGCAUAAGCCAGCUUGACUGCGAGCGUGACGGCGCGAGCAGGUGCGAAAGCAGGUCAUAGUGAUCCGGUGGUUCUGAAUGGAAGGGCCAUCGCUCAACGGAUAAAAGGUACUCCGGGGAUAACAGGCUGAUACCGCCCAAGAGUUCAUAUCGACGGCGGUGUUUGGCACCUCGAUGUCGGCUCAUCACAUCCUGGGGCUGAAGUAGGUCCCAAGGGUAUGGCUGUUCGCCAUUUAAAGUGGUACGCGAGCUGGGUUUAGAACGUCGUGAGACAGUUCGGUCCCUAUCUGCCGUGGGCGCUGGAGAACUGAGGGGGGCUGCUCCUAGUACGAGAGGACCGGAGUGGACGCAUCACUGGUGUUCGGGUUGUCAUGCCAAUGGCACUGCCCGGUAGCUAAAUGCGGAAGAGAUAAGUGCUGAAAGCAUCUAAGCACGAAACUUGCCCCGAGAUGAGUUCUCCCUGAGACUUAGAGUCUCCUGAAGGAACGUUGAAGACGACGACGUUGAUAGGCCGGGUGUGUAAGCGCAGCGAUGCGUUGAGCUAACCGGUACUAAUGAACCGUGAGGCUUAACCUU